Heterocephalus glaber (naked mole-rat) is the source of this 1434-nucleotide long non-coding RNA. The record is from Ensembl. NCBI's taxonomy places the organism in Eukaryota, Metazoa, Chordata, Mammalia, Rodentia, Bathyergidae.
GUCCACCCCAGGUCCUGGCUCCUCUCCAGGACCUCCAGCAAGAGAGGCAAAGAGGUAUGUCCUUGUGCCGAAUAUAGCCAGUCAAUAGUGGCUGCCUACAAUAGUGAGUGAAAAAAGACUUGGGGUCACACUUGGACUCAUAAGGAAAGAUGCACUGGUCAGUAACUGAUGUCCCUAUGAACACAGGACACAGUUAGUGAUCCCUCACCUAGCAUCUCACUCAACCCCAAAGCUAUGCCCUCUUGGCCAAGCUAGACUGGAUGCUUCUCUGUAGUCAUCUCCAGGCUGUCCCACUCUUGUAUCAGUCAGGACUCUUCUGCUUGCAAAUGACAGAAUUCAGCUUGAUCUGGACAUAAAGAAAAUGGAAAAUAGCUGGAUUCUUAAGGUCAGAAUUCUUGAUAUCUCCACCUUCCAGUUUCAGCAAAAGUCCCAAAGCUGAGUCCCAUUGGCUUGGUUGGAUCACAUGACCAUCCCUAAACCAGUGACCAUGUUCCAGUGGUCCAUGCCUGGGUUCCAUGACUGACCCUAUAAUGGGAUGAGGAUCUGGGAGUGGAGGUGGAUUCCAUUCACAGCCCAGGAACCUGGAAAAGAAGAAAGCUUGUUGACCAAAGGAAUAUGUGGUGCUUUUCUCAGAAGAUGCAAGUACAGAUUCUAGUCUAACAAAGACAUUGGUGCUCACCAUGACCCUCCCAGCACUCAGUCCCAUUCAGUGGAGACAUUUAGUAUCUAUAUCUGCCUCACUCUCUGUGUGGCCCAUUCUAACAGGGCCCUCUGGAAGGUCAACGUAGUCCCCCAAGAGAAGGAAACCGUUGCCUCUGCUCUUGAAGGGAACCAGAUCCUGGUCAUUCGUGUGCCUUUCUCCCUUUUCUUUGCAUGAACAUCAAACAGCUAUGCCAGAGCUGCCCUCUGCCCAGCACUUGCCGAGGGAAAAAAGGCCAGGGGCUAAAAGCUAGUCAACUGGAUCUGAUAUCCCUGAGAGAAGACAGCAGAGGGGGAAGGGAAGUCCCAGAACUGCUUUGGUUAACACCACUCAGUAUCCACUUCCCCUCACCCACCAACACUUCCUGAUUUCCUGCCAGCAAUUAGGUUCCAGGUGGGAGGAAGGCGAGGAGUGAGACCAUACUGUGGCACAUCUUAAAUGCUCCAUGAAGGCACUUAGGGCAGUGUCAUUGAGCCAGGAAGCCCUUAUGGGGCGUUUCUGGGAAAAGUGUUUACAGGAUGGAUUAGAGCAGAGAGUUCCAUAAACUAUGCCAACAAGUCAAUCUUGAUGUCUCUUCCCUGUGUUUAUUUCCAUAGACUUUAGUUUGGAGGAGGUGCAUUCUUCACUGGCUCUGUGGAUCAUGCACGUGGAAGGGAGUUCUGCUCCUUGAGAUUAUUUUUAAUUAUGGAAAAUUUUUCAGAUAUAAUCAAAAGUUUAGGGAAUGGUCCAACAAG